RNAcentral lists this ribosomal RNA (391 nucleotides) under Chrysophyceae sp. RNAcentral's name for it is "partial small subunit ribosomal RNA". It matches the Rfam family "Eukaryotic small subunit ribosomal RNA", at positions 582 to 975 of the family's 1831-position model. The record is from RNAcentral. Lineage: Eukaryota; Chrysophyceae.
AUUCCAGCUCCAAUAGCGUAUAUUAAAGUUGUUGCAGUUAAAACGCUCGUAGUUGAAUUUCUGGGUGUGAUAGGCGGUCCGUGUGCAUAACAUGUGUACCUCCCUCUCAUGCCCAUCCUCGAAAUGAAUAUGCAUUGCCUUAACUGUGUCGUGUAUAGGACCUUCGUCAUUUACUGUGAGCAAAAUAGAGUGUUCAAAGCAGGCUUAUGCCGUUGAAUAUAUUAGCAUGGAAUAAUAAGAUAUGACUUCUGUCUAUUUUGUUGGUUUGCAUUCGGAAGUAAUGAUUAAUAGGGAUAGUUGGGGGUUUUCGUAUUCAAUUGUCAGAGGUGAAAUUCUUGGAUUUAUGGAAGACGAACUACUGCGAAAGCAUCAACCAAGGAUGUUUUCAUCA